GACGAACGCUGGCGGCGUGCUUAACACAUGCAAGUCGAACGAUGAAGCUGGAGCUUGCUCCGGUGGAUUAGUGGCGAACGGGUGAGUAACACGUGAGCAAUCUGCCCUUGACUCUGGGAUAACUGCGGGAAACUGUAGCUAAUACCGGAUACUUUCACUGGAAGGCAUCUUCUGGUGAAGAAAGAAUUUCGGUCAAGGAUGAGCUCGCGGCCUAUCAGCUUGUUGGUGAGGUAACGGCUCACCAAGGCGACGACGGGUAGCCGGCCUGCGAGGGGGACCGGCCACACUGGGACUGGGAUACGGCCCAGACUCCUACGGGAGGCAGCAGUGGGGAAUAUUGCACAAUGGGCGCAAGCCUGAUGCAGCGACGCCGCGUGAGGGAUGACGGCCUUCGGGUUGUAAACCUCUUUCAGCACCGACGAAGCGCAAGUGACGGUAGGUGCAGAAGAAGGACCGGCCAACUACGUGCCAGCCGCCGCGGUAA
Molecule: ribosomal RNA, 484 nt
Filed under: uncultured bacterium
Lineage: Bacteria
Description: partial 16S ribosomal RNA
Rfam family: Bacterial small subunit ribosomal RNA
Source: RNAcentral